GUCUCGGACUCGACGGCAGUUCGGCUUCAGCGAUAGGAGCGGCGACAUCGGGAGCGACACCAGUCGCAACGCAGUUCCCUCAGAGCGACGAUGGAGCGAGACAACGGUCGCAGUUCCUCCAACGUCAUUGACCGGACUCCCCCUGUUCAUCAGGGGGAGUCCACCGUCCCCUGGGACUGCGCGGCCUCCCACCGCCCCCGGGGUCCCAGGGGACCCAGUCC
This 221-nucleotide unclassified non-coding RNA is filed under the name Athalia rosae (coleseed sawfly). RNAcentral's name for it is "misc RNA ENSAEAG00005011105.1". Lineage: Eukaryota; Metazoa; Arthropoda; Insecta; Hymenoptera; Athaliidae. The record is from RNAcentral.